This 2923-nucleotide ribosomal RNA is filed under the name Staphylococcus aureus. RNAcentral describes it as "23S ribosomal RNA". It matches the Rfam family "Bacterial large subunit ribosomal RNA". Lineage: Bacteria; Bacillati; Bacillota; Bacilli; Caryophanales; Staphylococcaceae. The record is from RNAcentral.
GAUUAAGUUAUUAAGGGCGCACGGUGGAUGCCUUGGCACUAGAAGCCGAUGAAGGACGUUACUAACGACGAUAUGCUUUGGGGAGCUGUAAGUAAGCUUUGAUCCAGAGAUUUCCGAAUGGGGAAACCCAGCAUGAGUUAUGUCAUGUUAUCGAUAUGUGAAUACAUAGCAUAUCAGAAGGCACACCCGGAGAACUGAAACAUCUUAGUACCCGGAGGAAGAGAAAGAAAAUUCGAUUCCCUUAGUAGCGGCGAGCGAAACGGGAAGAGCCCAAACCAACAAGCUUGCUUGUUGGGGUUGUAGGACACUCUAUACGGAGUUACAAAGGACGACAUUAGACGAAUCAUCUGGAAAGAUGAAUCAAAGAAGGUAAUAAUCCUGUAGUCGAAAAUGUUGUCUCUCUUGAGUGGAUCCUGAGUACGACGGAGCACGUGAAAUUCCGUCGGAAUCUGGGAGGACCAUCUCCUAAGGCUAAAUACUCUCUAGUGACCGAUAGUGAACCAGUACCGUGAGGGAAAGGUGAAAAGCACCCCGGAAGGGGAGUGAAAUAGAACCUGAAACCGUGUGCUUACAAGUAGUCAGAGCCCGUUAAUGGGUGAUGGCGUGCCUUUUGUAGAAUGAACCGGCGAGUUACGAUUUGAUGCAAGGUUAAGCAGUAAAUGUGGAGCCGUAGCGAAAGCGAGUCUGAAUAGGGCGUUUAGUAUUUGGUCGUAGACCCGAAACCAGGUGAUCUACCCUUGGUCAGGUUGAAGUUCAGGUAACACUGAAUGGAGGACCGAACCGACUUACGUUGAAAAGUGAGCGGAUGAACUGAGGGUAGCGGAGAAAUUCCAAUCGAACCUGGAGAUAGCUGGUUCUCUCCGAAAUAGCUUUAGGGCUAGCCUCAAGUGAUGAUUAUUGGAGGUAGAGCACUGUUUGGACGAGGGGCCCCUCUCGGGUUACCGAAUUCAGACAAACUCCGAAUGCCAAUUAAUUUAACUUGGGAGUCAGAACAUGGGUGAUAAGGUCCAUGUUCGAAAGGGAAACAGCCCAGACCACCAGCUAAGGUCCCAAAAUAUAUGUUAAGUGGAAAAGGAUGUGGCGUUGCCCAGACAACUAGGAUGUUGGCUUAGAAGCAGCCAUCAUUUAAAGAGUGCGUAAUAGCUCACUAGUCGAGUGACACUGCGCCGAAAAUGUACCGGGGCUAAACAUAUUACCGAAGCUGUGGAUUGUCCUUUGGACAAUGGUAGGAGAGCGUUCUAAGGGCGUUGAAGCAUGAUCGUAAGGACAUGUGGAGCGCUUAGAAGUGAGAAUGCCGGUGUGAGUAGCGAAAGACGGGUGAGAAUCCCGUCCACCGAUUGACUAAGGUUUCCAGAGGAAGGCUCGUCCGCUCUGGGUUAGUCGGGUCCUAAGCUGAGGCCGACAGGCGUAGGCGAUGGAUAACAGGUUGAUAUUCCUGUACCACCUAUAAUCGUUUUAAUCGAUGGGGGGACGCAGUAGGAUAGGCGAAGCGUGCGAUUGGAUUGCACGUCUAAGCAGUAAGGCUGAGUAUUAGGCAAAUCCGGUACUCGUUAAGGCUGAGCUGUGAUGGGGAGAAGACAUUGUGUCUUCGAGUCGUUGAUUUCACACUGCCGAGAAAAGCCUCUAGAUAGAAAAUAGGUGCCCGUACCGCAAACCGACACAGGUAGUCAAGAUGAGAAUUCUAAGGUGAGCGAGCGAACUCUCGUUAAGGAACUCGGCAAAAUGACCCCGUAACUUCGGGAGAAGGGGUGCUCUUUAGGGUUAACGCCCAGAAGAGCCGCAGUGAAUAGGCCCAAGCGACUGUUUAUCAAAAACACAGGUCUCUGCUAAACCGUAAGGUGAUGUAUAGGGGCUGACGCCUGCCCGGUGCUGGAAGGUUAAGAGGAGUGGUUAGCUUCUGCGAAGCUACGAAUCGAAGCCCCAGUAAACGGCGGCCGUAACUAUAACGGUCCUAAGGUAGCGAAAUUCCUUGUCGGGUAAGUUCCGACCCGCACGAAAGGCGUAACGAUUUGGGCACUGUCUCAACGAGAGACUCGGUGAAAUCAUAGUACCUGUGAAGAUGCAGGUUACCCGCGACAGGACGGAAAGACCUCGUGGAGCUUUACUGUAGCCUGAUAUUGAAAUUCGGCACAGCUUGUACAGGAUAGGUAGGAGCCUUUGAAACGUGAGCGCUAGCUUACGUGGAGGCGCUGGUGGGAUACUACCCUAGCUGUGUUGGCUUUCUAACCCGCACCACUUAUCGUGGUGGGAGACAGUGUCAGGCGGGCAGUUUGACUGGGGCGGUCGCCUCCUAAAAGGUAACGGAGGCGCUCAAAGGUUCCCUCAGAAUGGUUGGAAAUCAUUCAUAGAGUGUAAAGGCAUAAGGGAGCUUGACUGCGAGACCUACAAGUCGAGCAGGGUCGAAAGACGGACUUAGUGAUCCGGUGGUUCCGCAUGGAAGGGCCAUCGCUCAACGGAUAAAAGCUACCCCGGGGAUAACAGGCUUAUCUCCCCCAAGAGUUCACAUCGACGGGGAGGUUUGGCACCUCGAUGUCGGCUCAUCGCAUCCUGGGGCUGUAGUCGGUCCCAAGGGUUGGGCUGUUCGCCCAUUAAAGCGGUACGCGAGCUGGGUUCAGAACGUCGUGAGACAGUUCGGUCCCUAUCCGUCGUGGGCGUAGGAAAUUUGAGAGGAGCUGUCCUUAGUACGAGAGGACCGGGAUGGACAUACCUCUGGUGUACCAGUUGUCGUGCCAACGGCAUAGCUGGGUAGCUAUGUGUGGACGGGAUAAGUGCUGAAAGCAUCUAAGCAUGAAGCCCCCCUCAAGAUGAGAUUUCCCAACUUCGGUUAUAAGAUCCCUCAAAGAUGAUGAGGUUAAUAGGUUCGAGGUGGAAGCAUGGUGACAUGUGGAGCUGACGAAUACUAAUCGAUCGAAGACUUAAUCAA